Molecule: ribosomal RNA, 417 nt
Filed under: uncultured bacterium
Lineage: Bacteria
Description: bacterial SSU rRNA
Rfam family: Bacterial small subunit ribosomal RNA
Source: RNAcentral
AUUGAACGCUGGCGGCAUGCCUAACACAUGCAAGUCGAACGGCAGCACGGCAGUAGCAAUACUGUGGGUGGCGAGUGGCGGACGGGUGAGGAAUACGUCGGAAUCUGCCCAGUCGUGGGGGGUAACUAGCCGAAAGGUUAGCUAAUACCGCAUACGACCGAGAGGUGAAAGCGGGGGACCGCAAGGCCUCGCGCGAUUGGAUGAGCCGACGUCGGAUUAGCUAGUUGGUGGGGUAAAGGCCCACCAAGGCGACGAUCCGUAGCUGGUCUGAGAGGAUGAUCAGCCACACUGGAACUGAGACACGGUCCAGACUCCUACGGGAGGCAGCAGUGGGGAAUAUUGGACAAUGGGCGCAAGCCUGAUCCAGCAAUGCCGCGUGUGUGAAGAAGGCCUCGGUUGUAAGACACUUUAUCUAGG